UGACAACAUACAACAGUGUACCAUCUAAAACUCGUCUUUAAAGCUAUCCCAUUUGACAAAACAGAGCAGCAAGUCGUCCCCUAGGCCAGGUAACUUGAGACCCAUUUUUAAAGCUAAAAUUUUCAGUAAUAAAAAAAAUCCCAAAAUGGUUUCUUUUUUUUUAGGCUUUAGAGUUGUAAUUUGGUUUUUUUGCCAGAUUCCAUGAGGAAGAUGUGAUCUGUGGAUUAUGAAAUUGUUUAUGUUAAUACCAUGAUUAUAACUUCUUUAAACAUUUUCUUUCUUCUCAUGAUAUUGUGUCUAGGAUGAACCUUAUAUGACAUGUUUGCAUGCAGGUAGAAUAUCUAAAAGAAGGGGAAAAGGGUGGUGGGGGGUCCACUCCAAUUGUAUUGGGAAUAAGAAUUUGGAGAGUGAUAUCAUCAUGUGGACCCUUACAUUUCUGUUUUCUUUUAUAUGCAAAAUAAUUUUUUUAAAAGAACCCAGAAAGGAAAAAAGUUAGCACAGAACAGGCAUAGG
RNAcentral lists this long non-coding RNA (513 nucleotides) under Gossypium barbadense (sea-island cotton). Its description in RNAcentral is "long non-coding RNA (GBAR_LNC020687)". The record is from RNAcentral. Lineage: Eukaryota; Viridiplantae; Streptophyta; Magnoliopsida; Malvales; Malvaceae.